RNAcentral lists this transfer RNA (70 nucleotides) under Salmo salar (Atlantic salmon). It matches the Rfam family "tRNA". Rfam says of the family: Transfer RNA (tRNA) molecules are approximately 80 nucleotides in length. Their secondary structure includes four short double-helical elements and three loops (D, anti-codon, and T loops). Further hydrogen bonds mediate the characteristic L-shaped molecular structure. tRNAs have two regions of fundamental functional importance: the anti-codon, which is responsible for specific mRNA codon recognition, and the 3' end, to which the tRNAs corresponding amino acid is attached (by aminoacyl-tRNA synthetases). tRNAs cope with the degeneracy of the genetic code in two manners: having more than one tRNA (with a specific anti-codon) for a particular amino acid; and 'wobble' base-pairing, i.e. permitting non-standard base-pairing at the 3rd anti-codon position. The record is from Rfam by way of RNAcentral. Lineage: Eukaryota; Metazoa; Chordata; Actinopteri; Salmoniformes; Salmonidae.
UCCUGUGUGGCUCAGUUGUUAAAGCAUGGCACUUGCAAUGCCAGGGUUGUUGGUUCAAUUCCCACAGGGG